CACACUAUCAUUAACUGAAUCCAUAGGUUAAUGAGGCGAACCGGGGGAACUGAAACAUCUAAGUACCCCGAGGAAAAGAAAUCAACCGAGAUUCCCCCAGUAGCGGCGAGCGAACGGGGAGGAGCCCAGAGCCUGAAUCAGUGUGUGUGUUAGUGGAAGCGUCUGGAAAGGCGCGCGAUACAGGGUGACAGCCCCGUACACAAAAAUGCACAUAUUGUGAGCUCGAUGAGUAGGGCGGGACACGUGGUAUCCUGUCUGAAUAUGGGGGGACCAUCCUCCAAGGCUAAAUACUCCUGACUGACCGAUAGUGAACCAGUACCGUGAGGGAAAGGCGAAAAGAACCCCGGCGAGGGGAGUGAAAAAGAACCUGAAACCGUGUACGUACAAGCAGUGGGAGCCUCUUUAUGGGGUGACUGCGUACCUUUUGUAUAAUGGGUCAGCGACUUAUAUUCUGUAGCAAGGUUAACCGAAUAGGGGAGCCGAAGGGAAACCGAGUCUUAACUGGGCGUUAAGUUGCAGGGUAUAGACCCGAAACCCGGUGAUCUAGCCAUGGGCAGGUUGAAGGUUGGGUAACACUAACUGGAGGACCGAACCGACUAAUGUUGAAAAAUUAGCGGAUGACUUGUGGCUGGGGGUGAAAGGCCAAUCAAACCGGGAGAUAGCUGGUUCUCCCCGAAAGCUAUUUAGGUAGCGCCUCGUGAAUUCAUCUCCGGGGGUAGAGCACUGUUUCGGCAAGGGGGUCAUCCCGACUUACCAACCCGAUGCAAACUGCGAAUACCGGAGAAUGUUAUCACGGGAGACACACGGCGGGUGCUAACGUCCGUCGUGAAGAGGGAAACAACCCAGACCGCCAGCUAAGGUCCCAAAGUCAUGGUUAAGUGGGAAACGAUGUGGGAAGGCCCAGACAGCCAGGAUGUUGGCUUAGAAGCAGCCAUCAUUUAAAGAAAGCGUAAUAGCUCACUGGUCGAGUCGGCCUGCGCGGAAGAUGUAACGGGGCUAAACCAUGCACCGAAGCUGCGGCAGCGACACUAUGUGUUGUUGGGUAGGGGAGCGUUCUGUAAGCCUGUGAAGGUGGCCUGUGAGGGUUGCUGGAGGUAUCAGAAGUGCGAAUGCUGACAUAAGUAACGAUAAAGCGGGUGAAAAGCCCGCUCGCCGGAAGACCAAGGGUUCCUGUCCAACGUUAAUCGGGGCAGGGUGAGUCGACCCCUAAGGCGAGGCCGAAAGGCGUAGUCGAUGGGAAACAGGUUAAUAUUCCUGUACUUGGUGUUACUGCGAAGGGGGGACGGAGAAGGCUAUGUUGGCCGGGCGACGGUUGUCCCGGUUUAAGCGUGUAGGCUGGUUUUCCAGGCAAAUCCGGAAAACCAAGGCUGAGGCGUGAUGACGAGGCACUACGGUGCUGAAGCGACAAAUGCCCUGCUUCCAGGAAAAGCCUCUAAGCAUCAGGUAACAUCAAAUCGUACCCCAAACCGACACAGGUGGUCAGGUAGAGAAUACCAAGGCGCUUGAGAGAACUCGGGUGAAGGAACUAGGCAAAAUGGUGCCGUAACUUCGGGAGAAGGCACGCUGAUAUGUAGGUGAAGCGACUUGCUCGUGGAGCUGAAAUCAGUCGAAGAUACCAGCUGGCUGCAACUGUUUAUUAAAAACACAGCACUGUGCAAACACGAAAGUGGACGUAUACGGUGUGACGCCUGCCCGGUGCCGGAAGGUUAAUUGAUGGGGUUAGCGGUAACGCGAAGCUCUUGAUCGAAGCCCCGGUAAACGGCGGCCGUAACUAUAACGGUCCUAAGGUAGCGAAAUUCCUUGUCGGGUAAGUUCCGACCUGCACGAAUGGCGUAAUGAUGGCCAGGCUGUCUCCACCCGAGACUCAGUGAAAUUGAACUCGCUGUGAAGAUGCAGUGUACCCGCGGCAAGACGGAAAGACCCCGUGAACCUUUACUAUAGCUUGACACUGAACAUUGAGCCUUGAUGUGUAGGAUAGGUGGGAGGCUUUGAAGUGUGGACGCCAGUCUGCAUGGAGCCGACCUUGAAAUACCACCCUUUAAUGUUUGAUGUUCUAACGUUGGCCCGUAAUCCGGGUUGCGGACAGUGUCUGGUGGGUAGUUUGACUGGGGCGGUCUCCUCCUAAAGAGUAACGGAGGAGCACGAAGGUUGGCUAAUCCUGGUCGGACAUCAGGAGGUUAGUGCAAUGGCAUAAGCCAGCUUGACUGCGAGCGUGACGGCGCGAGCAGGUGCGAAAGCAGGUCAUAGUGAUCCGGUGGUUCUGAAUGGAAGGGCCAUCGCUCAACGGAUAAAAGGUACUCCGGGGAUAACAGGCUGAUACCGCCCAAGAGUUCAUAUCGACGGCGGUGUUUGGCACCUCGAUGUCGGCUCAUCACAUCCUGGGGCUGAAGUAGGUCCCAAGGGUAUGGCUGUUCGCCAUUUAAAGUGGUACGCGAGCUGGGUUUAGAACGUCGUGAGACAGUUCGGUCCCUAUCUGCCGUGGGCGCUGGAGAACUGAGGGGGGCUGCUCCUAGUACGAGAGGACCGGAGUGGACGCAUCACUGGUGUUCGGGUUGUCAUGCCAAUGGCACUGCCCGGUAGCUAAAUGCGGAAGAGAUAAGUGCUGAAAGCAUCUAAGCACGAAACUUGCCCCGAGAUGAGUUCUCCCUGAGUCUUUGAGAGUCCUGAAGGAACGUUGAAGACGACGACGUUGAUAGGCCGGGUGUGUAAGCGCAGCGAUGCGUUGAGCUAACCGGUACUAAUGAACCGUGAGGCUUAACCUU
Molecule: ribosomal RNA, 2762 nt
Filed under: Escherichia coli UMEA 3203-1
Lineage: Bacteria; Pseudomonadati; Pseudomonadota; Gammaproteobacteria; Enterobacterales; Enterobacteriaceae
Description: bacterial LSU rRNA
Rfam family: Bacterial large subunit ribosomal RNA
Source: RNAcentral